This 2110-nucleotide long non-coding RNA is filed under the name Homo sapiens (human). RNAcentral describes it as "HSALNT0160108". Lineage: Eukaryota; Metazoa; Chordata; Mammalia; Primates; Hominidae. The record is from RNAcentral.
UUCAGCUGCUCUUUACACUUUUACUGAAGACCCUCAAAACGGUAUGAUGCAUCUGUUUAUCCCUGCAGCAUCAACCAAAUAUCUACUUUUCCAUUAGAGGAAUUCAAGCCAGCAACUGAUGCAACUCCAGCCUGCCAGAGACAAGAUCUCACCAUGUUUCCCAGGCUGGUCUUGAACUUCUGAUCUUAAGUGAUCCUCCCACCUCAGCCUCCCAAAGUGUUGGGACUACAGGCAAGAGCCACUGGGCCUGGCCCUUAUGUUUCUUUAGAUGAGACAAGGAUAUCUCUAAGGCCCCCUAUUAGGCUGGCUGCCCAGAUGCAAAACCUGUGAACACAAGAAUGUCAGUAUUACCUGGGGAGCCACCUCCAGUCACCCGCUCUGUCUUCAUGCUCCGUGGUGAACAAUCUCCAUAAGAAGUUCAUAGGUGUUGGACACGUGUGGCCAGGCCCUGGGCUUUGAAAUCGACCCUGGUUUGCAGCUAUAUGGUUGAUGCUGCCAGACACAUCCAGAUAUGGAAAAUCAACUUUAUCCCAGGCUUUCUUGUGCCGCUCCUCCAGCCGCCUGCUCUGUUGGGUGCAGCUCCUUCUGUUCCAUUUUGCUUCAUGGGCUCUGGAAGGAGGAGUAACAGUGCACAGAUGGCAAGGUGGAACCUCCCAACACAAACUGAAUCUCUUCCUCCUUCUGCUCCUCAUUGCCUGAGCCUACUGUUCUCCCCCGCCACCACCAUUUCUAUUUUCAGGAAAAAAAGGAAAAAACUUUGGUGAUCUACAAGCUUUGGGUGACUUUUCCUUUGAGCAGGAUAACCAGAGCAGCUAGGUGAUUUUCCAAAUGCUGGCUAUGGCUAAACCCAGUCUCAAACAAAAUCGGAAAAUCAACAUGUUUCUCUUCAGAUUUUCCAACAACCCCUUUCUUCAUCUCUCUCCAACCUACAAGCUGCCCUUCUCCACCUGACAUCCCAGUAGUGGGUGACUUCCAGCAGCUGGAGGCACUUCCCACCUUCCCCAGACCUAGGCCUGCACAUUCUUCUCUCCCUUCAUCUCUGUCUCUUCAGUCUGAGAAGUUAGUCUGAGGCGUGACUGCUGCAUCAUCAAUGACUGCGUUAGAAACCCCAGCGAUUCACUGCUAUGUUCUUUAUAUGUAGGAUAGUUACUGGCACAUGGAAGGCACCCAAUAUGUAUUUGCUGAGUCAGACUGCAAAAGUGUGCAACUGGCUGAGACUCUUGGGGGUAUUUGCACAGAGAAAUAACGUAACGAUAACGACUACUAGCUAACUGCCAUUUACUAGUCACUUUACACAGUCUAAAAGCAGGAUCUCGACAUUUCUAACAGCUUGAUGACCUCAUAUUUAAUGUGGUUUUGUACAGAAAUUUCCCUGGAACCCCACACAUGACAUUGUUUGGAGCGACUCCUUCCUUGCUUACCUAUAAGCCUAAUCCUGCGUAUUGAGUCAUUCUCUUCUUGAGCAAGUAGGACUUGUUGCUCUCUUGUCACUUUUCCACCAGUGUUCCUCUCUUAAGGGAGAGAAAAAGUUAAACAUGCCUGCUUUUCAGUGUCUAUAGACGAUUGUGGAAUGUUUGAGGAAAACCUUGGACUUUUUCACAGCCACUCCCUGUCUGGGCAGCCUCGGGUCAGCCUCCUCCUGCAGUUUUUCUUUCUGUUUUUCCCCUCUGUGUGUCCCUCCUAAGAAUGUGGUCCUAUUUCCUGGAGCAGGAGCCUGUCUGCAGGCAUGGCUGGGAAGGAAGCCCUGGCCAUGAGCUGGGCUGAUGGCACCUCUGGAGCUGGCUUUCCGGCAGCUGGUGACACAGCGGGUCUGGCCUCAUUCAUUACUAAUUGUUGACGCUGUGUUCGGAGGAACGUGUUAGUAACAGCACGUACCUUGAUCAGCCACACUCAGGCCUGGGUGGAGGAGAUAGGUGGUGACUCACACAGUGGUGGAAGAGGGCCUGGUCACCUGGGCUGCCCGAAAAUGACAGGAAAGGCAGGGCCAGGAAAGGAAAUCCCCCUGCACAUCACCUCCCUCCCCUUCCCACUGCAUGCUCCACCCCUGCACCACAGGCACUUGCUUCUCACUCCUCUGUGUUUUUUUGUGGUUUUUUUUUUUGUUUUUUUU